RNAcentral lists this ribosomal RNA (468 nucleotides) under uncultured bacterium. Its description in RNAcentral is "partial 16S ribosomal RNA". It matches the Rfam family "Bacterial small subunit ribosomal RNA", at positions 28 to 507 of the family's 1533-position model. The record is from RNAcentral.
GACGAACGCUGGCGGCGUGCUUAACACAUGCAAGUCGAACGGUGAUGCUCCAGCUUGCUGGAGUGGAUCAGUGGCGAACGGGUGAGUAACACGUGAGCAACCUGCCCCAGACUCUGGAAUAAGCGCUGGAAACGGCGGCUAAUACUGGAUACGAACCUGGCCCGCAUGGGCAUGGUUUGGAAAGUUUGGCGGUUUGGGAUGGGCUCGCGGCCUAUCAGCUUGUUGGUGGGGUAGUGGCUUACCAAGGCGGUGACGGGUAGCCGGCCUGAGAGGGCGACCGGCCACAUUGGGACUGAGAGACGGCCCAGACUCCUACGGGAGGCAGCAGUGGGGAAUAUUGCACAAUGGGCGGAAGCCUGAUGCAGCAACGCCGCGUGCGGGAUGACGGCCUUCGGGUUGUAAACCGCUUUCGCCUGGGAAGAAGCGUGAGUGACGGUAAUGGGUAAAGAAGCACCGGCUAACUACGUG